RNAcentral lists this ribosomal RNA (407 nucleotides) under uncultured bacterium. RNAcentral describes it as "bacterial SSU rRNA". It matches the Rfam family "Bacterial small subunit ribosomal RNA", at positions 28 to 424 of the family's 1533-position model. The record is from RNAcentral.
GAUGAACGCUGGCGGCGUGCUUAACACAUGCAAGUCGAACGAAGAUGCCGGAGUGCUUGCACUUUGGCCAGACUGAGUGGCGGACGGGUGAGUAACGCGUGGGUAACCUGCCUUAUACAGGGGGAUAACAGUUGGAAACGACUGCUAAUACCGCAUAAGCGCACGGUAUCGCAUGAUACAGUGUGAAAAACUCCGGUGGUAUAAGAUGGACCCGCGUCUGAUUAGCUUGUUGGUGAGGUAACGGCCCACCAAGGCGACGAUCAGUAGCCGGCCUGAGAGGUUGAACGGCCACAUUGGGACUGAGACACGGCCCAGACUCCUACGGGAGGCAGCAGUGGGGAAUAUUGCACAAUGGGGGAAACCCUGGAUGCAGCGACGCCGCGUGGAGGAAGAAGGUCCUCGGGAUU